CCUACGGGAGGCAGCAGUGAGGAAUAUUGGUCAAUGGACGAGAGUCUGAACCAGCCAAGUAGCGUGAAGGAUGACUGCCCUAUGGGUUGUAAACUUCUUUUAUAUGGGAAUAAAACAGGGUAUGCAUACCCUCUUGUAUGUAUCCUAUGAAUAAGGAUCGGCUAACUCCGUGCCAGCAGCCGCGGUAAUACGGAGGAUCCGAGCGUUAUCCGGAUUUAUUGGGUUUAAAGGGUGCGUAGGUGGUUUGUUAAGUCAGUUGUGAAAGUUUGCGGCUCAACCGUAAAAUUGCAGUUGAAACUGGCAGUCUUGAGUACAGGAGAGGUGGGCGGAAUGCGUGGUGUAGCGGUGAAAUGCUUAGAUAUCGCGAAGAACUCCGAUUGCGAAGGCAGCUUACUGGACUGCAACUGACACUGAUGCUCGAAAGUGUGGGGAUCAAACAGGAUUAGAUACCCUGGUAGUC
This 460-nucleotide ribosomal RNA is filed under the name uncultured bacterium. Its description in RNAcentral is "partial 16S ribosomal RNA". It matches the Rfam family "Bacterial small subunit ribosomal RNA", at positions 338 to 795 of the family's 1533-position model. The record is from RNAcentral.